This 72-nucleotide non-coding RNA is filed under the name Falsibacillus pallidus. The record is from RNAcentral. Lineage: Bacteria; Bacillati; Bacillota; Bacilli; Caryophanales; Bacillaceae.
AGGAGCCGUAUGCGAUGACCCGCACGUACGGAUCUGUGAGAGGCGCAUGAAUCAUUCAUGCGCCUACUCGAU